RNAcentral lists this transfer RNA (40 nucleotides) under Pollenia rudis. Its description in RNAcentral is "partial tRNA-Met". The record is from RNAcentral. Lineage: Eukaryota; Metazoa; Arthropoda; Insecta; Diptera; Polleniidae.
UCAUACCCCAUUUAUAAAGGUUGUAAUCCUUUUCUUUUUA